CGGCGAGUGAAGCGGCAAGAGCUCAAAUUUGAAAUCUGGUCCUUUCAGGGCCCGAGUUGUAAUUUGCAGAGGAUGCUUUGGGUGCGGCCGCGGCAUAAGUCCCCUGGAACGGGGCGUCGCAGAGGGUGAGAAUCCCGUCUUGAGUCGCCGGUUCGCGCCCGUGUAAAGCUCCUUCGACGAGUCGAGUUGUUUGGGAAUGCAGCUCUAAAUGGGUGGUAAAUUUCAUCUAAAGCUAAAUAUUGGCUGGAGACCGAUAGCGCACAAGUAGAGUGAUCGAAAGGUUAAAAGCACCUUGAAAAGGGAGUUAAAUAGCACGUGAAAUUGUUGAAAGGGAACCGCUUGCAGUCAGACUCGGCCGCGGAGGCUCAACGGGCACUUGUGCCCGUGCACUCCUCCGUGGCCGGGCCAGCAUCAGUUCUGGCGACCGGUCAAAGGCCCCUGGAAUGUGUCGUCCUCCGGGACGUCUUAUAGCCAGGGGUGCAAUGCGGCCAGCCGGGACUGAGGAACGCGCU
RNAcentral lists this ribosomal RNA (512 nucleotides) under uncultured Uncinocarpus. Its description in RNAcentral is "eukaryotic LSU rRNA". It matches the Rfam family "Eukaryotic large subunit ribosomal RNA", at positions 87 to 601 of the family's 3401-position model. Lineage: Eukaryota; Fungi; Ascomycota; Eurotiomycetes; Onygenales; Onygenaceae. The record is from RNAcentral.